RNAcentral lists this non-coding RNA (30 nucleotides) under Homo sapiens (human). Lineage: Eukaryota; Metazoa; Chordata; Mammalia; Primates; Hominidae. The record is from RNAcentral.
UGGUGUUACAGGUGUUGGACAGAAGUCUGU